Molecule: ribosomal RNA, 481 nt
Filed under: uncultured Acholeplasma sp.
Lineage: Bacteria; Bacillati; Mycoplasmatota; Mollicutes; Acholeplasmatales; Acholeplasmataceae
Description: bacterial SSU rRNA
Rfam family: Bacterial small subunit ribosomal RNA
Source: RNAcentral
CUCAAAGGAAUUGACGGGGCCCGCACAAGCGGUGGAGCAUGUGGUUUAAUUCGACGCAACGCGAAGAACCUUACCAGGGCUUGACAUCCCCUGACCGCGUAUGAAAGUACGUUUCACCCUCGGGUGACAGGGAGACAGGUGGUGCAUGGUUGUCGUCAGCUCGUGUCGUGAGAUGUUGGGUUAAGUCCCGCAACGAGCGCAACCCUUAUUGCUAGUUACCAUCAUUGAGUUGGGGACUCUAGCGAGACUGCCAGCGAUAAGCUGGAGGAAGGUGGGGAUGACGUCAAAUCAUCAUGCCCCUUAUGACCUGGGCUACAAACGUGAUACAAUGGCUGGAACAAAGGGAGGCGAAGGGGUGACCUGGAGCGAAACCCAAAAAUACAGUCUCAGUUCGGAUUGAAGUCUGCAACUCGACUUCAUGAAGUCGAAAUCGCUAGUAAUCGCGGAUCAGAACGCCGCGGUGAAUACGUUCUCGGGGUUU